This 492-nucleotide ribosomal RNA is filed under the name uncultured bacterium. RNAcentral describes it as "partial 16S ribosomal RNA". It matches the Rfam family "Bacterial small subunit ribosomal RNA", at positions 29 to 507 of the family's 1533-position model. The record is from RNAcentral.
AGUGAACGCUGGCGGUAGGCCUAACACAUGCAAGUCGAACGGCAGCACAGUAAGAGCUUGCUCUUACGGGUGGCGAGUGGCGGACGGGUGAGGAAUACAUCGGAAUCUACUUUUUCGUGGGGGAUAACGUAGGGAAACUUACGCUAAUACCGCAUACGACCUACGGGUGAAAGCAGGGGAUCUUCGGACCUUGCGCGAUUGAAUGAGCCGAUGUCGGAUUAGCUAGUUGGCGGGGUAAAGGCCCACCAAGGCGACGAUCCGUAGCUGGUCUGAGAGGAUGAUCGACCACACUGGAACUGAGACACGGUCCAGACUCCUACGGGAGGCAGCAGUGGGGAAUAUUGGACAAUGGGCGCAAGCCUGAUCCAGCCAUACCGCGUGGGUGAAGAAGGCCUUCGGGUUGUAAAGCCCUUUUGUUGGGAAAGAAAAGCAGCAGGUUAAUACCCCGCUGUUCUGACGGUACCCAAAGAAUAAGCACCGGCUAACUUCGUG